GGAUGAACGCUGGCGGCGUGCUUAACACAUGCAAGUCGAACGGUGAAGCCAAGCUUGCUUGGUGGAUCAGUGGCGAACGGGUGAGUAACACGUGAGCAACCUGCCCUGGACUCUGGGAUAAGCGCUGGAAACGGUGUCUAAUACUGGAUAUGAGCUCUCAUCGCAUGGUGGGGGUUGGAAAGAUUUUUCGGUCUGGGAUGGGCUCGCGGCCUAUCAGCUUGUUGGUGAGGUAAUGGCUCACCAAGGCGUCGACGGGUAGCCGGCCUGAGAGGGUGACCGGCCACACUGGGACUGAGACACGGCCCAGACUCCUACGGGAGGCAGCAGUGGGGAAUAUUGCACAAUGGGCGGAAGCCUGAUGCAGCAACGCCGCGUGAGGGAUGACGGCCUUCGGGUUGUAAACCUCUUUUAGCAGGGAAGAAGCGAGAGUGACGGUACCUGCAGAAAAAGCGCCGGCUAACUACGUGCCAGCAGCCGCGGUAAUACGUAGGGCGCAAGCGUUAUCCGGAAUUAUUGGGCGUAAAGAGCUCGUAGGCGGUUUGUCGCGUCUGCUGUGAAAUCCCGAGGCUCAACCUCGGGCCUGCAGUGGGUACGGGCAGACUAGAGUGCGGUAGGGGAGAUUGGAAUUCCUGGUGUAGCGGUGGAAUGCGCAGAUAUCAGGAGGAACACCGAUGGCGAAGGCAGAUCUCUGGGCCGUAACUGACGCUGAGGAGCGAAAGGGUGGGGAGCAAACAGGCUUAGAUACCCUGGUAGUCCACCCCGU
RNAcentral lists this ribosomal RNA (763 nucleotides) under Microbacterium aurantiacum. Its description in RNAcentral is "partial 16S ribosomal RNA". It matches the Rfam family "Bacterial small subunit ribosomal RNA", at positions 27 to 803 of the family's 1533-position model. Lineage: Bacteria; Bacillati; Actinomycetota; Actinomycetes; Micrococcales; Microbacteriaceae. The record is from RNAcentral.